CCUCAAAUCAGGUAGGACUACCCGCUGGACUUAAGCAUAUCAAUAAGCGGAGGAAAAGAAACUAACAAGGAUUCCCCUAGUAACUGCGAGUGAAGCGGGAAAAGCUCAAAUUUAAAAUCUGGCAGUUUAGCUGUCCGAGUUGUAAUCUAGAGAAGUGUUAUCCGCGUUGGACCAUGUACAAGUCUCCUGGAAUGGAGCAUCAUAGAGGGUGAGAAUCCCGUCUUUGACGUGGACUACCAGUGCUUUGUGAUGCGCUCUCAAAGAGUCGAGUUGUUUGGGAAUGCAGCUCAAAAUGGGUGGUAAAUUCCAUCUAAAGCUAAAUAUUGGCGAGAGACCGAUAGCGAACAAGUACCGUGAGGGAAAGAUGAAAAGAACUUUGGAAAGAGAGUUAAACAGUACGUGAAAUUGCUGAAAGGGAAACGCUUGAAGUCAGUCACAUUGGCUAGAAAUCAACCUUGCUUUUGCUGGGCGUACUUUCUAGUUAAUGGGUCAGCAUCAAUUUUGACUAUUGGAAAAAGUUCAGAGGAAUGUGGCAUCUUUGGAUGUGUUAUAGCCUUUGUUCGCAUACAAUGGUUGGGAUUGAGGAUCUCAGCACGCCGAAAGGCCGGGUUUCGACCACGUUCGUGCUUAGGAUGCUGGCA
RNAcentral lists this ribosomal RNA (641 nucleotides) under uncultured Basidiomycota. Its description in RNAcentral is "LSU rRNA". It matches the Rfam family "Eukaryotic large subunit ribosomal RNA", at positions 1 to 631 of the family's 3401-position model. The record is from RNAcentral. Lineage: Eukaryota; Fungi; Basidiomycota.